This 186-nucleotide unclassified non-coding RNA is filed under the name uncultured fungus. RNAcentral's name for it is "sequence contains ITS2". The record is from RNAcentral. Lineage: Eukaryota; Fungi.
CAACCAUUAAGCACCAGUCUGCUUAGCGUUGGGACCUUGCGGGGAACCGCAACUCCCUAAAACCAUCGGCGGGGCCGGGAUGGCUUCAGGCGUAGUAGAUCUCUUCUCGCCUCCACAGACAUCCCCGUGCCACGGCCGCGAACCGAGCUCGGGUGGCUUCACGCCGCCCGUCCUCACUUUUUUCUU